AUUGAACGCUGGCGGCAUGCUUUACACAUGCAAGUCGAACGGUAACAGGCCUUCGGGUGCUGACGAGUGGCGAACGGGUGAGUAAUGCAUCGGAACGUGCCCAGAGGUGGGGGAUAACGCAGCGAAAGCUGUGCUAAUACCGCAUGUGAUCUGAGGAUGAAAGCGGGGGACCAGGCAGCAAUGUUUGGCCUCGCGCCUUUGGAGCGGCCGAUGUCAGAUUAGGUAGUUGGUGGGGUAAAGGCCUACCAAGCCGCCGAUCUGUAGCUGGUCUGAGAGGACGACCAGCCACACUGGGAGUGAGACACGGCCCAGACUCCUACGGGAGGCAGCAGUGGGGAAUUUUAGACAAUGGGCGCAAGCCUGAUCCAGCAAUGCCGCGUGCGGGAAGAAGGCCUUCGGGUUGUAAACCGCUUUUGUACGGAACGAAAAGGCUCUGGCUAAUACCUGGGGCUGAUGACGGUACCGGAAGAAUAAGCACCGGCUAACUACGUG
Molecule: ribosomal RNA, 492 nt
Filed under: uncultured bacterium
Lineage: Bacteria
Description: partial 16S ribosomal RNA
Rfam family: Bacterial small subunit ribosomal RNA
Source: RNAcentral